This 468-nucleotide ribosomal RNA is filed under the name uncultured bacterium. RNAcentral describes it as "partial 16S ribosomal RNA". It matches the Rfam family "Bacterial small subunit ribosomal RNA", at positions 28 to 507 of the family's 1533-position model. The record is from RNAcentral.
GACGAACGCUGGCGGCGUGCUUAACACAUGCAAGUCGAACGGAAAGGCCCUGCUUUUGUGGGGUGCUCGAGUGGCGAACGGGUGCGUAACACGUGAGUAACCUGCCCUUGACUUUGGGAUAACUUCAGGAAACUGGGGCUACUACCGGAUAGGAGCUCCUGCUGCAUGGUGGGGGUUGGAAAGUUUCGGCGGUUGGGGAUGGACUCGCGGCUUAUCAGCUUGUUGGUGGGGUAGUGGCUUACCAAGGCUUUGACGGGUAGCCGGCCUGAGAGGGUGACCGGCCACAUUGGGACUGAGAUACGGCCCAGACUCCUACGGGAGGCAGCAGUGGGGAAUAUUGCACAAUGGGCGGAAGCCUGAGGCAGCAACGCCGCGUGCGGGAUGACGGCCUGCGGGGUGUAAACCGCUUUCGCCUGUGACGAAGCGUGAGUGACGGUAAUGGGUAAAGAAGCACCGGCUAACUACGUG